UAGGGAAUCUUCCACAAUGGGCGCAAGCCUGAUGGAGCAACACCGCGUGAGUGAAGAAGGGUUUCGGCUCGUAAAGCUCUGUUGUUGGAGAAGAACGUAUCUGAGAGUAACUGUUCAGGUAGUGACGGUAUCCAACCAGAAAGUCACGGCUAACUACGUGCCAGCAGCCGCGGUAAUACGUAGGUGGCAAGCGUUAUCCGGAUUUAUUGGGCGUAAAGCGAGCGCAGGCGGUUGCUUAGGUCUGAUGUGAAAGCCCACGGCUCAACCGUGGAGGGUCAUUGGAAACUGUUAAACUUGAGUGCAGGAGAGAAAAGUGGAAUUCCUAGUGUAGCGGUGAAAUGCGUAGAGAUUAGGAGGAACACCAGUGGCGAAGGCGGCUUUUUGGCCUGUAACUGACACUGAGGCGCGAAAGCGUGGGGAGCAAACAGGAUUAGAUACCCUGGUAGUCCACGCCGUAAACGAUGAGUGCUAAGUGUUGGUCUCAUAAGAGAUCAGUGCUGCAGCUAACGCAUUAAGCACUCCGCCUGGGGAGUACGACCGCAAGGUUG
RNAcentral lists this ribosomal RNA (548 nucleotides) under uncultured bacterium. RNAcentral describes it as "bacterial SSU rRNA". It matches the Rfam family "Bacterial small subunit ribosomal RNA", at positions 355 to 896 of the family's 1533-position model. The record is from RNAcentral.